Molecule: RNA transcript, 4804 nt
Organism: Magallana angulata
Lineage: Eukaryota; Metazoa; Mollusca; Bivalvia; Ostreida; Ostreidae
Gene name: inosine-5'-monophosphate dehydrogenase 1-like
Exons: 19
Source: RefSeq, a predicted model, not a curated record
UGUGUACUGAUCGUGCGCCGGUAUAUAUAUGUACGAAGUUAUAAGAUUUUUUCCCCAAUAAGCCCUGAAUUCCACUCACUGUCAGAACCACGUUAAGUUGCUGUUCACGAGGCAUAAGAGGCGAAUAUCGAUCUUGUUAACUAUAUAGCCGUCGUAUCGUCUCGUGUCAUCUGCCGGACCGGGAGGAGAAACGGAACACAUCGGGAUUCCCCUCAUCCUCCAUUCCUCAUACUGCAUCCCACCGACACAAGGUUGCCACUUCUCUCGUUAUUGAGGAUUAUAUCAACCAAAGGUAUGACAUGUGACAGACUGAACUGAUGUUCUAUAUUGGUUGUCAUGGAUUCAUCAUACCCCCGAGAACGCCAUGAAUCCGUGGGGAAGAGGUACCAGAGUCUGACCAACGAUAGCAGCAGCAUGGCAGACUACCUGAUCACCGGAGGAACGGGCUACGUCCCAGACGACGGACUCACGGGGGCCCAGCUCUUCGCGAACGGUGAUGGACUCACGUACAAUGACUUUCUCAUAUUGCCUGGAUUCAUUGAUUUUUCAGCGGAUGGAGUGGACCUGACCUCCGCCCUGACCAGGAAGAUCACCCUGAAGUCUCCGCUGGUCUCCUCCCCUAUGGAUACAGUCACAGAGUCACAGAUGGCCAUCGGAAUGGCGCUGUGUGGUGGAGUAGGUGUGAUCCAUCAUAACUGUACAGCAGAGUUCCAGGCCAACGAAGUCAGGAAGGUCAAGAAAUAUGAACAAGGAUUUAUCCUUGACCCAGUUGUCAUGUCCCCCACCCACACAGUCAAAGAUGUCGCCCAGGCCAAGAAAAAGUUCGGGUUUUCUGGAAUUCCAAUCACAAAUAAUGGUCACAUGGGAGAGAAAUUGGUUGGGCUUGUCACCCAAAGAGACAUUGAUUUCCUUACAGAUGAUGAGAUGGAUACACCUAUUUCAGAGGUGAUGACAAAGUAUGAAAACUUAGUCGUGGCCCACAAUGGGGUAACACUAAAAGAGGCCAACUCCAUUCUACAGAAAAGCAAGAAAGGGAAACUCCCCAUUGUAAAUGAUGAUGGGGAACUAGUGGCACUAAUUGCCCGAACAGACACAAAAAAGAACAGAGAGUUUCCUCUGGCCUCCAAAGAUGAAAAGAAACAGUUGUUGGUGGGGGCAGCGGUCAGUACACAUGACGAGGACAAGAAACGUCUGGAUCUCCUGGUGCAGGCCGGUGUAGACUUUGUUGUACUGGACUCCUCUCAAGGGAACUCAAUUUAUCAAAUCAACAUGAUCAAAUACCUAAAGAAGUCCUACCCUGCACUGCAAGUCAUAGGAGGCAAUGAUGGAAAGAGUACAUUCGUGACGGCAGCUCAGGCCAAGAACCUGAUAGAUGCGGGGGCGGACGCGCUUCGUGUGGGUAUGGGCAGUGGAUCAAUCUGUAUCACCCAGGAAGUGAUGGCAGUGGGGAGACCCCAGGGUACAGCUGUCUACAAGGUGGCAGAGUACGCCCGCAGAUUCGGGGUCCCAGUCAUAGCCGACGGAGGAAUCUCGUCUGUGGGUCAUGUGAUCAAAGCCUUGGCUCUCGGAGCAUCUACAGUUAUGAUGGGGUCCCUGCUAGCUGGGACAUCAGAGGCCCCAGGCGAGUACUUCUUUGCGGAUGGGGUCAGGCUGAAGAAGUACAGGGGCAUGGGCUCACUAGAUGCCAUGGAGAAACACCGCAGCAGUCAGAGUCGAUACUUUAGUGAGAGUGAUAAAAUAAAGGUGGCUCAAGGAGUCUCAGGGUCCAUUGUUGACAAAGGUUCCAUCCACAAGUUUGUGCCAUACCUCUACGCUGGAAUCCAACAUGGAUGCCAAGAUAUCGGGGCCCGCUGUCUCUCUAAUCUCAGAUCUAUGAUGUACUCAGGGGAGCUGAAGUUUGAGAGGCGGACAGCAUCAGCCCAGGUGGAGGGAGGGGUUCACAAUCUUCACAAAGAUAUUAGACGAAAGAUGGGUCAAGUUCCUGUUGGAUUGUCCUAGGCCAAACUGUAUGUGUUUCUGGAUCUCGUUAUCACACUGUAAUUAAAAGAAAUACUGAAAAUGCUACGAGAAAAGGUUGUAUUGAGAAUAUUGGGACAAAAUGACAAUGCCAUCCAUUGUGUUCUUUUUAUAAAAAGAUCUGACCAAAAUCAGCUAAAGGAAAUGGUUCUCGGACGUUCAAAGGGCUAAAAGUGCAUAAUACAUUUAUUUAGAAAAGAUAAAUUGUCAAUUGCAAAGUUAUGAAGGUGCAAUGUUUACAUAGUGUUAUAUAUAUGUAUAUACAGGGAAUUAUUUCCUCAGUGCUUCAGCAGGUUUUUUUGUUUAUAUACUAUAAAUAGCAUUCCUUUCACUUCUGAAUUCAUUAAGAAGCUUUAAAGGGGCAUGGUCAUGGUUUUGGUCAAAAAUUAUUUUUAAUGUUUACAAUGCUUUAGUAAGGUAUUUUUUAAUAUGCAACCAAAAUUUGAGUGCCAUUCAUUGAAUUAUAAGUGAGUUACAGAGCUUACAGUUCUUUGUUACGUACACUAAGCUUUUGUUUUCAUUUUGAAUGUUGAAGUAAAAAUUCCAGUUUAAGACCUAAAAUAAUGCGAUAAACGAUAGGAACUGUUUAUUUAUGCUUAAAAUGAAUAAAAUAAUAGACAAAUCAGCUUGAAAAAGAUUUUUUCUGGUAUAUUGAACCUAUGUAAACAAAAAAGGGGCACAAGCCUUGUUUACAAGACAAAGAAUUGUGAACCCUGUAUCUUGCUUAUAACUUUACUACUGAAUCUCAAAUUUCAAUUGAUCAUUUAAAAUGCAUUUCUAAAGCAUUAUGAAUAAUAAAAACAGAAAAAUUGAAUUUAACAAAAAUCGUGACCAUGCCCCUUUAGGGUGAUCCAAACAUAAUUUGUUUUUUUUGUACUGACAGUUUAUUUAAUGCAUCUAAUCUGUAGCUGUACAGUAAAACACGUUUAUUGCAAACAUGCUUAUAAUGAAUUGAUGCUUAUAGCAAAGUGAUAUUCAUUCCCCUUAACUUUAAAAAUAUAUUGAACACUUAACGGAUUUAUAGCAAAUAACGCUUGUAAUGAAGCAAAACUGUCCAUCCCUGGUACUUCUUUAUAAGCGUGUUUUACUGUAUAGAGUUGCUUGCCUCCAUAGUUUGUACUUAUUCAUUGUUUACUACAUGCAUCAACAUACAAAAAAUCAGGUUAAUUAUAAUGAUACAGUCAACAGUAAUUUCAAUUGACUCCUUUUUGUUAAAAGUGUUGUAUAAAGAGAGACAUAGUGUGGUUUUAUCAAUUUCCAUGGAGUUAACGUUUCAAGCAUUAUUUUAAUUGGUGGCCAGUGAUCCAGUCAAUACAAUAUGUUACUAGUCUAAGAAUUGUUAUUUCAAUUAACAUUUCAUUUCAUGUAAUAACUUAACUACCUAAUCUGGGAGAAGUAAUUUUUUCAGAUGUAAGAAGUGAUUUUUUUUUUCAGCAGUAACAUAUAGAAACAUAAACUAAUAUUCAGCAGUCAAUGGAGCACUUUCCUAUUAUCAAUUCUUGCCACAGGUUACAUUUUCCUGUAACAACAUCAAUUGUAGUGUUUUAAUAGAGAAAAUAAAAGAAUUUAGUGUAAUAUCAAAUGUUUAAAGUCAUUGUUACAUUUAGUAAAAUUUGCAAAAACAUUUUGCCUGAUUUUAUAUGUAUACACUUGGCUGUUUCUUUUUGUCUCAAAAUAAACCAUAUGGUGUAUUUAUUAGUUAUGUCAUACAUUAAGCGUAUGACAACAUUAGAAAGUUAUGAGAUAGGAUAUUUAUAUAUAUUUAUAGCACCAUAAUACAUAGAUUUUUUCCAUGUCUGAUAUAAUAGAAGAAUAAACAUACCAAUAGAUAGAGUCAGUUCUUUAUAAAUGCCUUUUGCCAUUUUGAGCACACCCAUGCUCUCUAUUGCUUUUAGCAAGAGUUACACUUAUUUUUUAAGUUGUGUUAAUAUUGUCAACAAUUUUGCUUCUUAUAUUUUUUUUGUAUGAAUACUCAGCCACUGUGGCUUUAUGAUUAUUUUUGUAGUUUUAUUAAUAUUAGUGUUUGAUAUUAUGUAUGAUAUCAAAUGUGUAAUAUAUGUUUCCGUCUCUGAUCUGAUCUAAAGUUUCUUGUUCUUCACCUCUGCCCUGUGAAGACAAUGGCGUACAGCUGUUAAGGUGGCUUGAUGGUCCUGGCCAUUAUUUAUCUCCAUCAGAAGAAGAGCUCUGUAUAUUGAUAUAGAAAAACAUUAAUUUUUUAAAAGCUCAAAUUCAGUAUAUGGAUUUUCCUUUACUAAAUAAUAGUUUAUUGCUUUAAAGAAGGAAAAUAAUCUUAAAUAUUGAGGUAUAUCUAAUGGAUAAACUUGUUGACCAUCUGGCUUCCUUAAAAUGUACAUGUCUAAGGGUAAACAAGGGUAAUGGUAAGAGACGUCUAGCUUCAGAUCUGGGUAAAUGUAUGGUGCAAGAAAAUACAAGUAAAUGAGUUGUCUGAGUAACUGAGAUGUGAUUACUUACCUAUAUUUGUUCAGAUGUAGCUAUAAGAAUGAGUGAACACUGUUGCAGAAGAUCAGUUUUACAUAGGUUAGUAGUCAGUUGUGUUAACCUUGUCUAUACCUUUGGCAUUAUCUAGUUGAUGUACAUGCACGUUUGAUUAUUUCUAUCUGGGAUUAUUUAAAUUUGGUCAUAACUGAGACAAGAAGGACCUGUUUAUUUUAUACAUUGUUCUGGUGCGUCUCUAGAACAUAAGUAAAGUGUGAGAGGUUGUUAUAAAUAUUCUAUAUGGUUUAGUGCCGAUUAUUGUAUGAACCUGAAAAUAAAAUACUUCGAUGUU